AGGAAAGCAGGGGAUCGCAACCACCUUGNCGCUUUUGGAGCGGCCGAUGUCUGAUUAGCUAGUUGGUGAGGUAAAGGCUUACCAAGGCUUCGAUCAGUAGCUGGUCUGAGAGGACGACCAGCCACACUGGGACUGAGACACGGCCCAGACUCCUACGGGAGGCAGCAGUGGGGAAUUUUGGACAAUGGGGGCAACCCUGUAUCCAGCCAUGCCGCGUGAGUGAAGAAGGCCUUCGGGUUGUAAAGCUCUUUCAGCCGGAACGAAAAGGUUACGGUUAAUACCCGUGACUAAUGACGGUACCGGAAGAAGAAGCACCGGCUAACUACGUGCCAGCAGCCGCGGUAAUACGUAGGGUGCGAGCGUUAAUCGGAAUUACUGGGCGUAAAGCGUGCGCAGGCGGUUUUGUAAGUCAGAUGUGAAAUCCCCGGGCUUAACCUGGGAACUGCGUUUGAAACUACAAAGCU
RNAcentral lists this ribosomal RNA (464 nucleotides) under uncultured beta proteobacterium. RNAcentral's name for it is "bacterial SSU rRNA". It matches the Rfam family "Bacterial small subunit ribosomal RNA", at positions 200 to 642 of the family's 1533-position model. Lineage: Bacteria; Pseudomonadati; Pseudomonadota; Betaproteobacteria. The record is from RNAcentral.